GAGGGGAGGUAUGGGUGGUCCCACAGUGGACCCAGUUCUCAACCACGGCUGAUAAGUGCAUGGACAAAAGGAGGAUCCUAGGAUCAAACCCAGUGUGUCUUUUGUCCUGUCUUUCUCCCCUCACUCCCAAACUGUCAUGGCAGAUUGCCGCCCCUCCCUGAGUCUGGUUCUUCCGGAUGUUUCUCCUGUUAAACGCGAGUUUUUCUUUCCCACUUUUACUCAUAUGGGGUUG
Molecule: long non-coding RNA, 232 nt
Organism: Oreochromis aureus
Lineage: Eukaryota; Metazoa; Chordata; Actinopteri; Cichliformes; Cichlidae
Exons: 3
Source: RefSeq, a predicted model, not a curated record